UGACGGACAUAUCACGUGGAAACACUGCUUCCCGUACAAUCACAAAAGUUAAGCAACGUCGAUUCUGGUCAGUACCUAAAUGGUUGACCACUUGGGAAUACCAGGUCCUGUAAG
Non-coding RNA from Acanthosepion pharaonis, 114 nucleotides. The record is from the annotation of a GenBank genome assembly. Lineage: Eukaryota; Metazoa; Mollusca; Cephalopoda; Sepiida; Sepiidae.